UCCCAGACUCCUACGGGAGGCAGCAGUGAGGAAUAUUGGUCAAUGGCCGGAAGGCUGAACCAGCCAAGCCGCGUGAAGGACGAAGGUGCCAAGCAUUGUAAACUUCUUUUGUCAAGGGACAAAAUCAGGCUCGAGAGCCUGACCGAGGGUACUUGAAGAAAAAGCAUCGGCUAACUCCGUGCCAGCAGCCGCGGUAAUACGGAGGAUGCGAGCGUUAUCCGGAUUUAUUGGGUUUAAAGGGUGCGUAGGCGGACUGGUAAGUCGGGGGGGAAAUCGUGGGGCGCAACCCCGGCCAGCCGUUGAAACUGGGGAUCUAGAGUGUGCGAGAGGUAUGCGGAAUGCGUGGUGUAGCGGUGAAAUG
RNAcentral lists this ribosomal RNA (361 nucleotides) under uncultured bacterium. Its description in RNAcentral is "bacterial SSU rRNA". It matches the Rfam family "Bacterial small subunit ribosomal RNA", at positions 329 to 688 of the family's 1533-position model. The record is from RNAcentral.